UAAAUGAACCCCAGCAGCGUCCCCCCGAUCAGCCGCGUUUUAUCCAGGGGUUAUUUCCUGUCCGAAUUUGUAACCAUCUGUCUGUCGGGGCUGAAAUCCCUCGAAAUCUGUGAAUUGUGAGCGCCACAAAUCUAGAAUUACACAUCUUGCGCGGAGCUGCCAGCGCGGCCGCCGCUGCCAGGGCCGGGAGAGGCUCCGAAAAGCGGGAUCUGAUUACGAGGCAUUGAUUGAAGCUCGUGUUUACGGCAGCCCGGCCAGGAUCGUUCCGUGCCACGGCUGCGGGAACAUCCCGGGCCCGGCGCGAUGCUCAGAAUUCAAGGAAAUAACAGGCCGAGGAAGUGGUUUUGCAGCCGCCGCCCCCUCCCCGGCCGAUAUCUCCGAUAUUUGUUCUUGCAGAGUUUCCCCUUUGUGUGUGGAAUGCACCCAAAGUUGCCAGGGUUAAAAUUAAAAAAAAAAAAAAAAAUCGGGAAAAUUUAAAAAAAAUUUAAAAGAGGCUGAGAGGGAGCGAUGAGUAGAGAAGAAAGGGGGGGAAAAGGGGGGGAAAAGGGGGAAAAUGUAAAAAAAAAUACUGGGAUAAGAGGCUUUGCAGUUGGUGCGCUGGAGGAGUUACGCAAUUUUUGUGGCUCUGCAAAAAAAAAAGCCUGAGAUUAUCAGGCGCGAGCAGCCCCGCAUGCAAAUUUUUUUGGGCAGAGAAAUGGGAUGUCCUGCUCGCCCGGCUCGUGAGGAACAGCAAUCCGCCGGAAAAAAAUGUUUGUCCUGGUGUUUUUCCGCCGCUCCUGGCCGCCGCUCUGCAAAUAAAUCCCCCGAAACAGUUUGGGAAAGCAUAAAAAAAUAGGGGAAAAAUAAAAUAUCGCACGGCGGCAGCUCGCAGCGCUGCUCGUUAUGAUAAUUUGUGGUCGAAAGGGGCCCUUUGCAGAGUAUUUUUUGGUUUUAAAAGAAAAUAAAACCGCGCUAAUUGAAGCCGGCCGCUCGCUAAUUGCGCAUCGCUGACAUCUCUGGAGAUUAAAAAAAUUUUUUUUCCUCUCCCUCGACCCUAGCGACGCUUCCUUGGGGCAGGAGAAGGGACAAACUUGACUCCCAAGGUGGGAAGAAACCCCGGGCAAAGCCCCGGGGCCGCCCCGGUUUCCAUCGUGGCCAGGGUCAGGCCCGCGGUGUAAUUGAUUUGCCACCUCCGAUACAUUUAAAUUCGAGCAGGGGUCUUAAAGCGCACUAAAUCUCCCGCAAUUGAGCGCUCGGCUCAGGGGUGGCUCCCAUUCCCCGUCUGGAGACGGAGUUUUGAAUUUAAACCGCCCCAGGUCCCGAGCCAAGCCGGAUUUGGGCCGUUUCUGUCGAUUUUGGACGCCCCGGCUCAGGCGGAGGCAGCAAGGAGGGCUCGGGGUAGCCCUGAAGUUAAGCCGGGCUUUGAGGGCGCCGAGGGGCUCGGCUUUAAUCACAUUUUGGCCUCAUUUCCUCAAAAAUAAACCCCAAAAUUCGAGGCUCGAGGUCUGCAAUAGGAGCAGUGAAGUGGGGAGGGGGCUCGGCUUUAAUCAGGUUUUGGUCUCGUCUUUAAAAAAAGAACCAAAAACCCCCAAAAUUCCAGGCGCGAGCUCUGCAAAGGAGGAGCAAUAAAACGGGGAGGGGCUCGGCUUUAAUCAGAUUUUGGCCUCAUAUUUAAAGAAAACCCCAAAACAAACAAAAAUCCAGACGCGAGGUCUGCAAAGGAGGAGCAAUAAAGUGGGGAGGGGGCUCAUCCUUAAUCAGAUUUUUGCCCAAUUUCGUCAAAAAAACCCCCAAAUUCCAGACUCGAGGUCUGCAAAAGAGGAGCAAUAAAACGGGGAGGGGGCCAGGCUUUAAUCAGAUUUUGGCCUCAUGUAAAGAAGGAGCGAUAAAACGGGGAGGGGGCUCGGCUUCAAUCAGAUUUUGGCCCCAUUUCCUCCAAAAACCCCCAAAUUCCAGGCCGGGCUCAGCAGAGGGGCAGCAGAAGGUGCAGCCCCAGUUUCAGCAGCCCCAGUUUCAGCCUCUCCCUCCUGGCAGCCUCGCUCAGGCGUCGGGGCAUAAAUAAAGAUUAACAGAAGUAUUUGGGGCGCGGACAAGUUUUUUUUUUUUCUUUUUUGUCGCGUGGUUUUCCUGGCCAGCAGCCCCGGCAGAGCCCAGGGAUGAGGGGAUUAAAACAACACCCAAAUAUUUGGCCAGGCCGGCAGAACAGAGCGCGGCUUGUGCGGAGCUGGAGCCGCUCCGGGCUCGGUGCUGCUGGCAGAGUUCCGCGCCGUCGUUUCCAAUA
Passer montanus (Eurasian tree sparrow) is the source of this 2260-nucleotide long non-coding RNA. RefSeq lists it as uncharacterized. The transcript has 2 exons. The record is from RefSeq and is a predicted model, not a curated record. NCBI's taxonomy places the organism in Eukaryota, Metazoa, Chordata, Aves, Passeriformes, Passeridae.